This 4231-nucleotide long non-coding RNA is filed under the name Diabrotica virgifera virgifera (western corn rootworm). Its description in RNAcentral is "uncharacterized LOC126883942". The record is from RNAcentral. Lineage: Eukaryota; Metazoa; Arthropoda; Insecta; Coleoptera; Chrysomelidae.
ACAUUGACUUUGAAAUUUAUUAGACUCUGCCAAUUAUUGUACAAGUGCGUAUUACCGAAGAUUGCCGAACGAAGUGACCCAAGUUCAUUUGCCAGGGUUACUGGGUGACGAAAAAGUACAUAACGACGAGAAUACACACAAAACCAACGCUUCGAUGAACGAACAUUUUUACUCCUUACAUUCAAGUUAUUGUAAUUUGUUUUAGAUCUGUUGUAUUAAAAUUUACGUGAAAUUCUGAAAAUUCUUCACCACAUCCACAACUAUUGGUCCUUCGAACUGCGAAUCUACAGUGCCAGCAGAACUACAAAGAAAAUAGCAGCUUUACAUUCUACGAACCGACGUCGUACUUGACCCGCUGUAUCAACCCCAGGAAGCUACAUUUACAACACUGAAUACUGAAUCCUUUUUAUAAUUUCACAUUUUUUCAGUCUCUAUUUGAUAAAUAUUUUAAGUACAUGAGUUUCAAUCUAAAUUAAUAUAUUUAUUUCGAAUAGUGACAUAUUAGGUCUGUUCCUUUGUUUUUUAGUGUUACACUUUUGAGUGUAAGUGUACGAAAUUCUAUGGACAUUCGAGUGUAAAAUGACAGCGGAUGUCACAGCGGCUCAUGACAGCGGACAGUAUUAAAGGAAAAUUAUCGGUGUGCCAAUCAAGCAAAGGGACAAGGAACUUCCGAAUAUGGCCUAACUGGGGGCACAUUGGGCACAUAACAUAACAUAACCUAAUCCUAAUAUUAGGCAAUCCAAACCACGUGACCUCUGGUUGGCACACAAACUAACGAAGAGGUUAUGUUUGUAUCUAUUUUUCAAUGAUUUUUCAUUGUUUAUCGUCGUAUUUUGUCUAUUUUCAAUUCAUUUGGAUUUCGUUUCCUGUUUUUGUGAACUUUAUAAACUUUACCACAAUGCAAACUGAUUAUUUAAGGAAAUUAUUAUUGGAAACUCCAGAUGUUGCGAGAAAGAUAUUUAUUGAAGCUGAAAAUAAUUGGGGAUUUAGAUCCAUACGGAAUUCAGUCAGAAUUGGAUUUUACAGUAAAGUGCAGUCCAUCAAGUUACUAUUAUAGAUAUUUAUACAGAUCUGGUGGAGUCUCACAGUUGCUACUCUAAGCAGCAGAUGAAAGCAUACAAAAGCCUUCAGGCACAUAAAUAUUUUACAGCUGGAUUUGUUUUGAAUGGAGUAAAAAUUGUUAAUGAUUUCCUGAUUUCCAUAUUAUUGUUGGAAAGGUGAAGCAUUUCCAAAAAGCUAAUGCUAAACGACUAAAUGCUUGGGUGGGGUGAUAGCCAGUUCUGAUGACAUAGCAAAUGCACAUUGUAUGCGUAUGGCUGGUAAUAGUGAAGUCUGCAGCAAUCCUAUUUUUAGCUGAGUAUGUCCAGAGCAAGACAGACGAAGAAGAACCCAAUGCAUGUACAUAUGUUACAGCUACAUGGUUUGGAGAUAGCAACAUAUGCAUUCUCUGAUGAAAAACUAAUGAGUUUUGAAACUGUUCGGUCAGAGUGCUUGUUGCGCUCACUAAACGAACUGAAAUAUAAGAUGGCUUUGGCAUUGUGUUGCAGCGAUAUGAAAAUGGUUAUUCAUUUUUAAUUAUAAUGUACUUCUUCAUCAUGAGUAAUUAUGUAUUGGUCUUUUAGAUGUGUAUUUAUUUUUGUAAUUAGUAUCAACUUGUAAUGAUAAUAUAUAUUUAUUGUUUAAGGUACGACUAUGUUUUGACUCUAAAAUAAAUGUUUUAAAAAUCGAAUCCUGCCUCUUUCUGUUAGUAACUACCCAUGGAUAUCACAAAUUGUGCUUACUGAUAGGUUUGUUCGUAGAACGAUCAGCAACUCUUGCCAACCAUCAGACACAUGCGCAUUCGUAGUCUAUGAAUGCUAACUAUUAACUGCACAACACUAACUGUUAACUGCUCAUGCAUCUGAUGGUUGACAGCAGUUGCUAAUCGUUUGUGUCGUACUAGGAACAAACCUAUUAGGUCUGGAUCCUGUGUACCAAAAAAAUUGAUUAAUAGCAAGCUGAAAAUUUGUUAAUAGCUUAACGGUGUCCAGUUGGACAAACUUUGAUGUAUUGUGACACUGGAACAGGGGUAGUUUUAAUUGUGAAACAGUUUGGAAACUCAGAUUUGGAACAUCAGAUUACAAAAACAUCCCAUAUAUUUUGUCGGACAGAACAUCCAAUUGAUCUGUUACCCUUUCAUUAAAUUGUCAUGCAAAAAUCAGACUGCUAUUACUAACCAACAUGAUUCCUGUAGUUUGACAUGGUCUUCGUGUUCUACUCAUUAAAAUGCCCAGUUGAUGAUUUUUUCACCAAUCUGGUUUUUGCAUGAGGGUUUUAUUGAAUUGGUAGCAAAUCAAUUGGAAGUUUUAUCUGACAAAUUACAUAAACAUUUUCGUAGUUUGACGUUCCAAAUUUUUAACCUGUUCCACAGUUAAAACUUCUAGUGUUCCCAUACAUCAAAGUUUGUCGGACUAGACACUGUUAAGCUAUUAAUAAAUUUUCAGCUUGCUAUUAAUCAACUUUUUUUGGUACGCGGGAUCCAGGUCUAUAUGGAAUAAAUAAAUAACAAAACAAAUUCCCUGUCAAAACUGCAUUUAUUUUGAAUAGAAUGAAAAACAAAAUAAUAUUGUUUUAACAAAAUAGGGGAUAAAUGUUAAAAUUUAGUAUUAAUAAAGUUUGUCACAUUAGCCUAAUAUUAAUGUCACUAGUUACGUUAGUGUCACAUAUAAAUAAUUGUAAUAAUAUUAAUAAAAAGCAUAAUUCCUAGCAUGAGUGCGUCCUGUUUUUUGAUAAUUUAGUUAGGCGAGGAAACAUAAAUGAGUUUCUAAUAGGGCUUUUCAUCGAUUGUCAUUUGUUUCGAGCUUCUGUUAGAUGUUGUAUAAUUCGUGUAUAAUAUUACUAUACACGGAUUAUAGGACAUAUGACAGAAGCUCAAAACAAAUGACUGUGAAUGAAAAGCCCUAUAGAGGGAAGACGAAAAAAAUUAACAUUAUCCGAUCAGCUCGACUUUCACAGUUCACUACUAUACAAGUUACAGGCAUGUUUUCAGCACUUAAAAUCACCAAAAACGAAAAGUUUAUAAAAUAAUCAAUCUAAUGAAUGUCUUUAAAUACUAUAUUAAGCUCAAAAUCACGAUAAAAAACAAAUUAAAAUUAACAUUAUUCUGAUCAGUUGACUUCCACAGUUCACUACUAUACAAGUCACAGGCAUGUUGUCAGCACUCAAAAUCACCAAAAACGUAAAGUUUAUAAAAUAAUUAAUCCAAUGAAUGUCUUUAAAUACUAUAUUAAGCUCAAAAUCACGACAAAAAACAAAUUAAAAUUAACAUUAUCCCGAUCAGUUGGACUUCCGCAGUUCACUACUAUACAAGUCACAGGCAUGUUGUCAGCACUCAAAAUCACCAAAAACGUAAAGUUUAUAAACUAAUUAAUCUAAUGAAUGUCUUUUAAUACUAAAUUAGCUAAAAAAUCACGACGAAAAACAAAUACGAAAAAUCCAAAAUUACAUUGAGUUUAGGUUAAAAACGGUUUUGUGUGCCAACCAAAGAUCACGUGAUUUAACUUUGACAGGUCGAUGGAUUCCCUAAUUUACAUUUGUAAAGAAUAUCCUGUUUGUUUUUAUUGUCGAUUGUGCAGCGAAAUUGUGUGCAGCAAAUCAAAUAUAAAGUAGUUUAUCGCCUACAGAACUGAAUUAGUCCAUAGCAGUUAUCAGUUUUUCUUUCUUGGGAAGCUUAUACAUGUAACUUGUAUUGUUGUAAAUUGUGGGAGUAGGGCAGACAGGGAAAAGUCUUAUUUUGUACUGUUCCCAAGGCUCCCCAUGCAAUACAUUUAAAUGAAUUAUCCAAACAAAGCCGGGGACAAUGGAUAAAAGCCACAAGAAGAACAGAUAUAAGGGAACUAAAAUUAAAAUAUGAAAAGUAAACAUUUUAUAAGUGGAACAACCACCAGAUAUUUAAAAGGUAUAAAAAGAAGAAACUGCUGGAAUUUCAAAACAAAUGUGUUUGACUAGUAAAGAUUUGGAUAAAUAACAGGAGUUACUUUGGGCUAUAGCUACGUGCAGAUUUAUUUCCUUGUGGCUUCCUAUGUUAAUUCUUAUUAAUUAUACACUUAAAUAUGUUUUUAGUCUCAGGAAGAUUUUAUAUUUGAUUAUUUUUGAAUAAACAUUAUUAUUAUUAUUACCUUAAUUUCCAUUAAAUAAAUUAACUGUAAUCAAUAAAGUAAUCGUUUAAUUGUUAAUAAAUUAUCAAGUAUGA